GACUACGUAGCUCAGUUGGUUAGAGCGUCCGACUGUUAAUCGGGAGGUCGACAGUUCAAACCUGUCCGCGGUCG
Molecule: transfer RNA, 74 nt
Filed under: Tilletia controversa (dwarf bunt fungus)
Lineage: Eukaryota; Fungi; Basidiomycota; Exobasidiomycetes; Tilletiales; Tilletiaceae
Rfam family: tRNA
About the family: Transfer RNA (tRNA) molecules are approximately 80 nucleotides in length. Their secondary structure includes four short double-helical elements and three loops (D, anti-codon, and T loops). Further hydrogen bonds mediate the characteristic L-shaped molecular structure. tRNAs have two regions of fundamental functional importance: the anti-codon, which is responsible for specific mRNA codon recognition, and the 3' end, to which the tRNAs corresponding amino acid is attached (by aminoacyl-tRNA synthetases). tRNAs cope with the degeneracy of the genetic code in two manners: having more than one tRNA (with a specific anti-codon) for a particular amino acid; and 'wobble' base-pairing, i.e. permitting non-standard base-pairing at the 3rd anti-codon position.
Source: Rfam by way of RNAcentral